CCAAUAGCGUAUAUUAAAGUUGUUGCAGUUAAAAAGCUCGUAGUUGAAUUUCGGGGUCAGCAAGUUGGUCGUGCCACCGGUAUGCACUGGCUUUGCUGAUUCCUCCUUCUUGUAGAACCGUAAUGCCAUUAAGUUGGUGUUGCGGGGAAACAGGACUGUUACUUUGAAAAAAUUAGAGUGUUUAAAGCAGGCUCACGCUUGAAUACAUUAGCAUGGAAUAAUGAAAUAGGACGUUUGACCCUAUUUUGUUGGUUUCUAGGAUCAACGUAAUGAUUAAUAGGGAUAGUUGGGGGCAUUAGUAUUCAAUUGUCAGAGGUGAAAUUCUUGGAUUUAUUGAAGACUAACUACUGCGAAAGCAUUUGCCAAGGAUGUUUUCAUUAAUCAAGAACGAAAGUUAGGGGAUCGAAGACGAUCAGAUACCGUCGUAGUCUUAACCAUAAACUAUGCCGACUAGGGAUCGGAUGAUGUUAAUUUUUUAAUGACUCAUUCGGCGCCUUACG
This 500-nucleotide ribosomal RNA is filed under the name uncultured Glomeromycotina. RNAcentral's name for it is "partial small subunit ribosomal RNA". It matches the Rfam family "Eukaryotic small subunit ribosomal RNA", at positions 591 to 1092 of the family's 1831-position model. Lineage: Eukaryota; Fungi; Glomeromycota. The record is from RNAcentral.